CGUGUAGGCGGACUCGCAAGUCGGUUGUGAAAUCCCUGGGCUCAACCUAGGAACUGCAUCCGAAACUGCUUGUCUUUGAGUAAUGGAGAGGGUGGCGGAAUUCCCGGUGUAGAGGUGAAAUUCGUAGAUAUCGGGAGGAACAUCAGUGGCGAAGGCGGCCACCUGGACAUUUACUGACGCUGAGACGCGAAAGCGUGGGGAGCAAACA
Molecule: ribosomal RNA, 208 nt
Filed under: uncultured bacterium
Lineage: Bacteria
Description: partial 16S ribosomal RNA
Rfam family: Bacterial small subunit ribosomal RNA
Source: RNAcentral